This 253-nucleotide ribosomal RNA is filed under the name uncultured bacterium. Its description in RNAcentral is "partial 16S ribosomal RNA". It matches the Rfam family "Bacterial small subunit ribosomal RNA", at positions 524 to 776 of the family's 1533-position model. The record is from RNAcentral.
UACGAAGGGGGCUAGCGUUGCUCGGAAUUACUGGGCGUAAAGGGCGCGUAGGCGGCACUGUUAGUCAGGCGUGAAAGUCCUGGGCUCAACCUGGGAACUGCGCUUGAUACGGCAGAGCUAGAGGAUGGAAGAGGCUCGCGGAAUUCCCAGUGUAGAGGUGAAAUUCGUAGAUAUUGGGAAGAACACCGGUGGCGAAGGCGGCGAGCUGGCCUGUACCUGACGCUGAGGCGCGACAGCGUGGGGAGCAAACAGG